RNAcentral lists this transfer RNA (72 nucleotides) under Bacteroidota bacterium. RNAcentral describes it as "Bacteroidetes bacterium (groundwater metagenome) tRNA-Gln". It matches the Rfam family "tRNA". From Rfam's summary of the family: Transfer RNA (tRNA) molecules are approximately 80 nucleotides in length. Their secondary structure includes four short double-helical elements and three loops (D, anti-codon, and T loops). Further hydrogen bonds mediate the characteristic L-shaped molecular structure. tRNAs have two regions of fundamental functional importance: the anti-codon, which is responsible for specific mRNA codon recognition, and the 3' end, to which the tRNAs corresponding amino acid is attached (by aminoacyl-tRNA synthetases). tRNAs cope with the degeneracy of the genetic code in two manners: having more than one tRNA (with a specific anti-codon) for a particular amino acid; and 'wobble' base-pairing, i.e. permitting non-standard base-pairing at the 3rd anti-codon position. Lineage: Bacteria; Pseudomonadati; Bacteroidota. The record is from RNAcentral.
UGACCUGUGGUGUAAUUGGCAACACGUCAGACUCUGGCUCUGAAGUUCCGGGUUCGAUUCCUUGCAGGUCAG